GAAUGCACUCCUCUGUGAGUGUUUGUAGAAUGAAGGGCCUGAAAUAAUUUGGUUCUCAGUUGCAGAUUGAAAAAAUCCCUGUUGUCAUUCUGCAUCUUUCCAGUCUUAGUGUACCUUUGCUGUAGAAAGCCCAUUAUUCAAAUUAAAAAUAUUUGAGUGAUAACAAUUAAUAAUUUCUGAGUGAAUUUUAAGAAACUACUAAAGUUUCAGAGCUCUGUGUGCAUGUGUGUGGGUCUGUGUAUGGGAGUGUGGUAUUCUGUAUUUUUCAGUAAGCUAUUUGUUAAAAAGAAAUUAAAUCAACUUAUCUAUCAUAUGUGUAUGAAAAGAGCCACCUCUCUGGUUGUUAAUUUUAUGUCCAGUUGAUAGAUUUUUGUGAGGUUGCAUGUUAAACACUAUUCUGUUUCGGUUAUAAUAGCUUGAGUUCUUUAGUGAUAUUAACAAAAAAGUUUUGUAAGUAUUAUUUUUUCACUAGAGAUAAAGAAAAUGUUACAAACAUUGAAUACCUGAUGGUACUUUCUGUAAGUCUCUCCACUAACUGUUUGGGUAAGUCUCCUGCUGGAAUAGUCCCUUUUCCCCACAUAUCACUUGUCAUGCAGUUUUAGCCGAAUCCAGAAUUUUGCUCAGAACUUCUCUGCUACAUUACAGGUUGUGUCUUCUUGUCACAGAGUCUGCAUUUAAAGGGUGCACGUUUAUGAUCAUGUGCCAUUCUGGCCUACAGAUUACAUUCUGAUUAUGUUCUAUUUUUUCUUCACUGAUUUCGGUUCCAUAAAUACACAAUGAACUUCUCUCAUGUCCAUAAGCAGGCUGGUGUUGUGUGUGUGUAUUCUUCUCAUCUCCAAGUGAUACACAGGAUAUUAUACUGGCAAAUCAUCUGGGCCACCUUCUGUAAGCUUUACACCAAGAGCUGAUAAUUGUCAGCCUGUGUCUCACUGCACCUUCAUUCAUGCACACAGCUCUGUCACAUGAAAGUUAAUCCUAGUCCUGUUAGUGAGAGAGAUAUGUAUGUACUUCAAGUUUUAAAUAGAAAUACAAUCAGAAUGUAGAAUUCUAUGAUGAUAUAUAGCCAAAGCAUGUCUUUCCCUUGAGGUUAGUUUUCUCUGUAACCAUCAACCGUGUCCGUUCUAGGCCAAAUCAAAUUGUUUUCUUUUGCAGCUCACGGUGACACAGAACACAGCACAUUGUAACUACAGGAACAGGCUCAACUUUGAAAUAUCUCUGUCAGGCAUCACAGAGGAUUUGAGGCAGAUGGCAGCUAUCAGCUGAAGCAGUCAGAACUGUACCAGAUAAAUAGAUAAUUGAAAAGCAAUCUGGAAAGCUGGAAGAGAUAUUAAGCCUCUCUUCUAGAAGGGAGGUAACAACUCAGGUAGGUCGCUGCUGAACUCAACUCCCAGAUCAGUGUUUUGUCUAAUGUCACUGAAAACACAGUGGCAGUUCAUGCCUGUAAUAUUCAUAUAUAAUAUGAAUAUUAUGAAGUAAUAUUUUGAAUAUUCUGAAGUAAUGUUUAAGUUGUUGUUAAGGCAGUUUGGCAUUUUCAGUUAUACAACAGAAUAAAGAAGGAUUUUACUACUUAAAGACAGGCGACCAAAAUCCCAGGAGCAAUAUGGCCCUUUGUUAAAUUACAGUAGCCAAAAUAGAAAACUGGUUACAAACCCUUUUCAUCCUCCAUGCUACUUUGUUUCUACUGCCAGGAAACCAAUAGUAUACCUACCACACUGGCCAUGAUUGUCUGAGGGGCAAGUGAUUUCUUUUUUUGUGUAAUUUAUAUUUGUAUUAAGAUAAUGGAACGAUUUCUGUUUUCUUUACCAUGAGCACAGAGAGAGGAAGGAAAAGGCCAAUGUCUAUGAGUAAAAAAAGAAGAUUUUGAUCUUGGUAGCUGCAUUUUAAAAGGGUCCUAAAAAACAUCUUUCCAAUCACUCAUGAUUCUCAAAUUUCUGACUACAGAAAGUGUGAAAUCUUGUGUGAACAUAGAAGGAGACUAAUACCAUUUGGUAGCUCCUCUUGCUAGGUUCUGAUCUCUUGUAGAACUGUAUUGGUUAUAGGGAGAGAGUAUGAGAUAUUUUUGUAACAGUGAGCACAGGAAAUAAGAUUUUGGCCUUUUUCAAAAGAAAGUGGCAUCUUUUCACCAGAAAAGUUCUUGAACUGAUCCACUGACAACUGUCUAUUUUGUUAAACCACUCAGGUGGAUCACAGAAAAUAUUAAUUCUUGUGAAGCUGAAUAAGACAAACAAAAAACAAACAAAAAAAAACCACCAAAAAAAACCACCAAAAAAAACCAACCAACAAAAGCAAACAAAAAUACUUUUUCUGCUCAAUUUACUUUGAAAGAUGCUUUUAAAAAUCUGUCUCCAAGAAGUCUGUCUAAAAAAUUCUGUCCAUUUAUACUGAAAAAACAUAGAGCAAAACACAUGCAUCGAAAUUUAUUUAAAGUAUUAGUUGCUACAAUUACAUAGCUAGGAAAGCAACAUAUUAAAUUCACAAAAUCCAUUAACAAAAAAUUUGCAUGUGUCCAUGUUGCUGGUUGCAGAAAUAAUGGGAUUCAUUUAAAGAGUCUCAAAGUCUUAAAAAGUGACUGCUGGUUUGUGGUUUUUUUUAAUGUAUUGUUCUAAUAUUUGAUUUACUGUGAUACUGGGCAUGAAUUACUUGUGCACAUAUGUAAAUCCUGCUUCUGUGUAUUGACUUUUGAGGAUGUUUCUCUGUCAUAUCUCAUUCUGUGACUGCUAAAACAAAGAAAAAUAAAAGGCAAAUUUUUAAAGCUUACAAAUGCAUGAAAAGUUUUAAGUUAUCAUUUGCUGUUUUGAGGCCUGAUUCAUCUUUCCAUUAUAAUUCUAGUAAUAGACUUUGGUCAGUCUAGAGCCAUAUUUUAUAUCAGUGUCUCAGUUUAGAUGAAACUGUACAAUUGUAAAUUACCAUUAUGUUGUAAAAUAUGUCUAACUUCAUUAGAUUACAAAACUUCUUAGGUAGCAGGAGAAUUUUCUUUUUGACUUAUGUAUUUUUAUUUUCUUCUAAAUGAAGAUGAAAUGUAAUAGCAAAAAAAUUGCUUUUUAGAUAAAAUUCCAGAAUCUGCCUAAAUAUUUAUUAUAUAAGAAUCUAGUAUAUCAAUAAUUAUAAACUAAAAAGAUGUUGACAACAUUGCAGUGUAAACAGUGCAAAUAAUACUUAGAAUAAUAAGCAGAGCCAGAAGUAAGAAAACAUCACUCAGAGGCAAGCAGCCUUAUAAUUAGGUUAGAAACAGAUGUAUUUAACUUUUUUUUUUCCCUCUCUUACAAUCCUUUGAGUAUUUCAGUCUUCUUCUGUGCUGUGAUCCAGAUUCAACAGGAAAAGUGAAAAAUAAAUAGUUCAGCUCAGGUUCACACUAUACAACUCCCUGAAAUGUAGGAGGUCUGAACAGAGGAAAGUCUUAGAAACUUGUUAUGGUCAAGUUUGCUAAUUGUGCUUGAAGGGGGACAUCCUUCAUUAUCUGGUUGUGCUCAAAUAUUAACUCAGUGCUCUCAGUCUCAGGGGAUGAAGGUGUCUGCCCUAUAUAGGCACAUGUCUUAGAUUAAAUGUUCAGACAUCAUGCCUGAGUGUUCCCAAAGCUAUUUGCUUUACCAUCAGGAGAAAGGAAAAGCCCUUAUGGGCUCUGAAUUUCAUCAUGGAGGCACUUAAAUCCCUCCUUUUUUGAGAGCUGGGCUGCCUUAGGAACUACGUGUGAACCAUUCUGUAGCUAUAAUAUUCUGAAUAAGGCUCUUGGGAGCAGAUGAGUUUGCAAAAAUGUUAAGCAUCAAAGCCAGGCCUUAGGUACACUGAUGGGAUCAUAAUCUGCACUCGAGGUAACAAGGCAGUCCAACUCCUGAACAGUUUCACAGAACAUGAUGAACUUCUUGAAUACCAUGAGUACAUUGAAACUGUCUUCAGUACUUCACUUGUUAUUCAUUGUGAUGAAAGCACUGGAGUAAAUGAUCAAAAUCAUACAUGAGGAGCUUUCACUUCAUGUUAUUAUGUAUUCUUGUUAAAAUCCUAGUUUGCUUUGCAACUCACUUCUGGCAUAAUCAUAUUUUUGCAAAGUUCAUAAAGCCUUAGAAAUAAAAGUAUGGUUGGAAUACUAGUGCUUGGCAUGCUCCAAAAGUGUAAAAAUCAUCAGUGUAUAAUGUAUUUACUUUCUUUACUAAAUAGGUCAAAAAUGUAUGUCUAAUUUUGGGGGACACAUACCAAACAAGUUCUUCUCCUAACACACAAAUCAACACCAGAAGACUUUUGAAGGAGAAAACACACAAUAUUUAUGUGUGUGGUUCUAAAGUGUAGUAUGAGGAAGUAGAAGUCAACUUUCUAUUUGGGGAAGGUCUCAGAUUGCUAAUCCAGACCCAACAAAUAUGUAGCAUGGCAAUGUGUUUGCAGGUGUUCACAUAUUUCCUCUUACUUUCUGCUGUCUUUCUUGUUCUUCAACAACAAGGCCUGAUGGAACUUCUGCUGAUGCCCCAGGAUCACAGUGUUUGUUUUGUUCAUUCCACAAAAUCAGUAUGAAUAGUUUCUUUUUUCCCAUUUAAAUUUUAUUGUCAGUCAUUGUCUCAUUGUCAGUGAUGUCUUUGGAUGCACAAGUCUGAAUUGGUAGUCAAAUAUCUACUUCUUGUCAAAUAGCUUGAAUUCUGCAACAAUUUAUUGUGGUCUAGGGUGAGACUUGGGGGUGAUCAAGACAUCUUAGACAUCUAUCUAUAUGGAAGGGCUCAGGUGUAAACUAUGUGUGUAAACUCUUGUUCUAGACAACAGUCAAUGCAAUCUUUAGACCCUUCUCAAUGCCUUGUCUGCUGAUGAACUGCUUUGCAUGUGUUUCAGAGGGAACUGAGUUGUUCUCUAAGCUCCAUCUGAGCACAGAAAAAAAUUAUGGCAUCAUGUGAAAUGUGCUGUCAGUUUCUGCCUUGCAGUUCUCUAUGGAACAAAAUUCCCUGAAAUUGAAAAAAUAAAUUUAAAAUAUAUUUUAAUCACUAAAUUCCUGACAAAAGUAGUGAAAAAAUCUUUCUUGAGUUUCUCCCAAAGACAAAUCAGGAUUCUGUAAAAUUGUUGGAUCUUCACUUAUCAUUUGCUUUGAUUCAUGCACGUCAUACAACAGUACUUGAAGCUAUUGGCACACUGCAUUUAUUGAUGCAGUGGGUUGUUCUGAAUUUUAUGUCAAUAUCUCUUACUUUGCAGUUCCACAUUAAUAAAAUACAUUGCUUUAAACAGUUUUUCAUUUCCUUUGUAGUGGUUCUCUCUACUGUGGAAAGUCAUUCAUCCCUUGUCCUGGAGAUUUUUACUUCUCAUGGCACUGACACCACAGGGGUUUUUAGAGCAUUGGGUUAAUCUGAAAAUCUCCAGCUAAUAUACUAUAGAAUAGGUUGGAAUCCAACCAUAAAAUAAGAUCAGAAAGCAAUAGCAAAGGACACAGUCCAAGUUAUGGUCAAAGUAAGGUUGCACAGUGUGGCUACUGCCCCAGCAACAGAGACAGAGCCUAGACAGCUGCAGAGCAGUGGCAGCCAGCCAGCAUGCCUGAAUAGAUGAAGAUAAGGCCAAAAGGAGGAGGACUUAAAUCUCAGAUAUUAGCUGACCUAAUAUAGAAUGAACAAGCUAUAUAAGAGCCUUACAGACCCAGAAAAGAACUAGAACAUCUAGCUGCAAACAAAGUCCUUGAAGUUCCUUCUGCAGCUCUUCAAAUAUAAAUUAUCAUAGCCAAAGUAUUUUUAAAAUAUUAGCUUUUAAAAUGUAUUUAGUUCUAAUUUUUUUUUUUCUGGGCACAUCAUAAAAAAUAUUUGCCGUCAAAUACAUAAUAUACUCAGCAAUUAUGUUUUUUAAAUGUGAGGCCAUUAAAUUGAGGCUGUGACUUCACAGGCACAUUACAGUUUAUGCAAAGGUAAUCCCAGUUUUCCUUCUUUGGAUGGGAAUUAGAAUCUGUUAUCCCAGCUAUACUGUUUUUAGUAUCCUAACUAACCCACUCUUCAUGUGGGAUAGGAUACUUUUCUGUCUUGUGUACUUUAAUUGUUCUUUCAAGAAACAAAAUCUAUUUAUGAAAGUCCCAUUUCUCCCUGAAAAGUACAUUUUUCAGAUGUAAUAUGUAAGCUGUUUUAUCUCUGCUGGCUGAAAAAAUUAUUUUUCCCAUUCUAUUUAUAAAGGAUAUUAUUGUUUUACAGGAUCGUUGCAGACCCUGACACAAAGAUACGUCAAUUAAAAAACAGGCAAUUAAAUAGCUCAAAAAGGAGGAAAAGAAAUGCAGUUCAAAAAUAUCUAUGCAGAGAACCCAUAGCUGUCUGCAACCCUGCCUGUUACUCUGUGUGGGUAGUACUCAGGAUUAGCUAUGGAAACAAAUGAUGUCAGAACCACUCCUAAACCUUUCCAAUUUUCCAGUGUGAAAAUAUCCUGUAGAAAUGUGGUGUGGUAUUGGAUAUGAAACAAAUGUUUGGGGUUUUUUAAAAUGUCAAUAGAUUUUUUUUCAUUAAAUUUUAGUUCAUUUGUGCUGUA
Oenanthe melanoleuca is the source of this 6465-nucleotide long non-coding RNA. RefSeq lists it as uncharacterized. Lineage: Eukaryota; Metazoa; Chordata; Aves; Passeriformes; Muscicapidae. The transcript is spliced from 2 exons. The record is from RefSeq and is a predicted model, not a curated record.